AUGUUGCAAAGAGGCGCGCGAGCCUGGGCUGCGCGCGCGCCUCCUCGAGAUGGAGUGAGGGCUUUGGAGACUUUUUGGAGAGGCUUCCUCCCAAGUAAACACGCUCAGCAGCCAGUUGGAAACUUCCAACCCUAGGGAUACUCAAGCCUCCCUUGUUUUUAGCUUCCAAUUUCCCCCCUUAAAUCUCCCCAGCGCCAAAUAGCUUUUGCUCUUUACUUCCCCUCCUUCAUUCCGUAUUUCCAGAUUAUUUGGAGCGCCAGUCAGCCUUGAUUCCAAUCCCAUUGGCUCAUCUGCAAGUUAGAAGGAGGUGCUGGAAACGUCAAAAAGUCGUCAUCCUUGUACCUUGAUCAGAAGUUGAAUGGACCGCUUUUGCCUGAUCUGAUGGCUCACUAUUAAGUUCUUUGGCUUUCCUCUCCUCCUGUAACGAAGCACAUCUGCAUUUUUCUUCCUCCUGUAUUGAGCAGCAGCAAAUCAACUCCUAAAUUGAAGCACUCAAAAUCUUUAUUUUGAAAAGCCUGAAUGGUGUCCAUCAAAGCAGGAACCCUGAAGAUCUUCCUUUUAAGGCACUUACCGAACCCUCCUAUCUGGGGAGGGGGAAUGUCAGAUUCACACUCAUUUAAAUAAUUUGACAGCUCCUAAGAAGAAACUGAUGAACAUCACAUUCAAGUGUCAAAAAGAAAGACAGAGGAGAUGAGCACUGAAAAAUAAAAUAAAAUUUAAAUAAUCA
Long non-coding RNA from Anolis carolinensis (green anole), 727 nucleotides. RefSeq lists it as uncharacterized. Lineage: Eukaryota; Metazoa; Chordata; Lepidosauria; Squamata; Anolidae. The record is from RefSeq and is a predicted model, not a curated record. The transcript is spliced from 3 exons.